GUGUGUGUGUGUGUGUGUGUGUGUGUGUGUGUGGACCUUUACUCUUAAGGCAGCUUUAGUUAACCGAAGCAUUGAGCGCUGCACAUGUUGUCUUGUGAUCUGCUGUUAGACCAGAGACCCAUAUCAUCAUCGACACACACACUCACACACACACACACACACACACACACACACACACACACACUCACGUGUCUCUGGUCCAACAGCAGAGAUGAGUUCUGAUCCUGGUGUGAGCCAUAGUCUAAACUGUCUACCUCACCAAAAACAAAGUCAGAUGAUUGACAAGGACCCUCUCUCUCUCUCUCUCUCUCACAGACACUCUCUCUCUCUCACACACACACACACACACACACCCUAACCCACAUCCUCCUCUGCUUAUCAGAGUGGUGUGUGUGUGUGGCUGUUUGUUUUCUCUGGUUUUGGUCUUGUAUGAGGAAGCAGAAGUCUCACACACACACACAAACUUCCCUGUGUGUGUGUGUGUGUGUGUGUGUUAGAGAGGAGGCCCCUUAGACAGCUCAGUGCCUUGGUCUUUAGUCGCUACACCCCAGCAUUCUCUCGGCCCCACAGCAGGCCCCAGCACCCCUGUGUGUGUGAGAGAGAUCAGGCCCCAGCACCCCUGUGUGUGUGAGAGAGAUCAGGGCCCAGCACCCCUGUGUGUGUGUGAGAGAGAUGUAUGCCUUAUUUCAGCACACAAUACACACCAACAUGGUCUGUGUGUGUGUGUGAGUGUGUUAUUGUAUUUAUCACUUUUCACAGAUGUGAACAGCUUUUAGCCAUGUAUACGUAGCAUAUAUUUUAUGUUCUUGUUUGUGUGAUUUUAUUGUACCUGUUUUGGAAGUAUAUUGUAAUUUAUUGUAAUUCUAUAAUAUAAUAUCCUGGGGAAAUGUGUCCAAAUGCCGUCUGUGUCUAUUGUGUGCGUGUGUGUGUGUCUAAUGUGUCUAUUGUCUUUGCACUACCUGGGCUGAGGAGGUCUGUAGCAUGAACAUCAGAGACCCUGGCUUACUGAGAGAAAUCAGAGACUGUGUGUGCGUGUGUGUGUGCUAUGGGUGUGUGCGG
Clupea harengus (Atlantic herring) is the source of this 1059-nucleotide long non-coding RNA. NCBI's taxonomy places the organism in Eukaryota, Metazoa, Chordata, Actinopteri, Clupeiformes, Clupeidae. The record is from Ensembl.